Long non-coding RNA from Mus musculus (house mouse), 506 nucleotides. RefSeq annotates it as predicted gene, 42211. The record is from RefSeq and is a predicted model, not a curated record. Lineage: Eukaryota; Metazoa; Chordata; Mammalia; Rodentia; Muridae. The transcript is spliced from 2 exons.
AUGAGCCAAGAAAGGAAAUGUGGCAAAUAUGCCCAAUGGAGUUGCAGUCAGCCAUAAAAAUGAAAUUAUUUCAUUUUCAGAGACGUACAUGGAACUGGAGAUCAUGGGACGUGAAAAAAACCAGACUCUGGAGACAACUGUUGUCUGGUCACACAAUUCAUCUGGUUUGUUCAAACUUUGGAAACCUUCCUCCAGUCCUCAGAUAACAGAACCGAAGAAGUUCAGAUCUAGGUUGACUGGCUGUCAUUUUUUUCUCCAGCUGUGUCUAAUUUCUAGUAGAGACCCUCCUGUCAGUAUGGAUCACCCCCAUACAUCAUCAGAAGCUCAAGUACCUCUUAUGAGUGUUACCUACAGAUUAACUGUCUCACACACACACACACACACACACACACACACACACACACACACACACACACUAAAAUGGCUGAGGAUUUAUCUUCGCUGGUGAGAAAUGUGGAACCUUGUUAUUUAAAGUAAGGAAUAGAUGAGUGAAGGACAGGAACUCA